GGAGCUGUAAGCUUCACGUGUUUUAACUUUGUCAAAGCACUUUGAAAAAGUGGUCUGUGGUAUCUGGAAAGCUGAUGUUGCGUGUGAAGAUUGCAGACAAGCUUUAUCCAAGGAAAUCUGGCUCUCGAAGUUCGAAAAGCGGUGCCUCUUCAGUUUUCGAACAAGCAAUCUUAUUGGGGAUCUGGCUCUCAAGAUUUAG
RNAcentral lists this long non-coding RNA (199 nucleotides) under Malus domestica (apple). Its description in RNAcentral is "long non-coding RNA (MDOM_LNC021056)". The record is from RNAcentral. Lineage: Eukaryota; Viridiplantae; Streptophyta; Magnoliopsida; Rosales; Rosaceae.